UUAGGGAACUAGGGGAGGAGGGGGACGUCCAGCCAGCCUCACUUGAGCCCCCCAGCAGAUUUGCAUUCCUUGCACGACUUUCUCCCCUGUACCCCUGAGCCCUGGAGGCUGCGGGGAAGGCCAGGCUCGGGGGCUUCCCAGCCCCGCACCCCACAUGCCCGCGUGCAGGCCGGGAGCUGCUGGACGCUGGUGGCCGCCUGUUUUUUUCCGAAGGGAAAGAAAGGGGGGGCUUUUCUUUUUGUAUUGUUAACAGAUCUGAAACCCACAAGUGGAAGCUCCGUUUGCCUCCUACACCGCCUUUCUUUUUGCUCCCUUCCUCUGCCUCUGCACCCACUGUCCUGGAUUAACUCCUAGGCUGCCCUUAGGAACUUUGAAACGUUCCAAAUGUCAUCGUGAAGCAGGUCUGGUCCAGCCGCUACUGGAUGAAACCAAACGUGUCAGAGCUAUGCACCUAUCCAAGAUGAGAACACCUACUGAAGACCUUUCAGAUAGACCCUCUGGAGAGUGUCUCUGAUGGCCAAUCACAGCUACUGUCGCUUCAGCCUGAAUAGCCAAAACGAUCAUCACCCUUUACCCCGUCAUAGCAGUUCGGGAUACUUCCUCAGAUGAGGGAAUAUUAUAGGUGGUUAAAUUAGUUUUAUUUGCAAGCCUCCAGACACUGGACAUAAGAGCACAGAGGAAAAGAACUUUCCUCAUGGAAAAUAGUACCAGUAACAACAAAUGCUACAAACACUGUAAUUUUGUUCUGCAAAACCAUUUUCCUUAAGGAAUAGAAAAUGACUUUGUGUAACAAUAUAACCUCUUUUCUUUAUUUGAAAAUUAUCCACUUUGGAAAAAAAAAAAC
This is a long non-coding RNA of Chinchilla lanigera (long-tailed chinchilla), 844 nucleotides long. RefSeq lists it as uncharacterized. The transcript has 3 exons. The record is from RefSeq and is a predicted model, not a curated record. NCBI's taxonomy places the organism in Eukaryota, Metazoa, Chordata, Mammalia, Rodentia, Chinchillidae.